AGCGAACGUUUGCGGCGGGCCUAACACAUGCAAGUCGAACGCACUAGCAAUAGUGAGUGGCGCACGGGUGCGUAACACGUGGGUAAUCAACCCUUCAGCUUGGGAUAACGACUUGAAAGGGUCGCUAAUACCGGAUACGGCGCGGGAGGCUUCGGCUUCUCACGAGAAAGCCUCGCAAGGGGCACUGAAGGACGAGCCUGCGGCCCAUCAGCUAGUUGGUGAGGUAAGAGCUCACCAAGGCGAAGACGGGUAGCUGGUCUGAGAGGAUGAUCAGCCACACUGGAACUGAGACACGGUCCAGACUCCUACGGGAGGCAGCAGUGGGGAAUAUUGCGCAAUGGGCGAAAGCCUGACGCAGCCACGCCGCGUGAGCGAUGAAGGCCUUCGGGUCGUAAAGCUCUGUGGGGAGAGACGAAGAAAGCCCGUGAAGAGCGGGCCGUUGACGGGUAUCUCCUUAGCAAGCACCGGCUAACUCCGUGCCAGCAGCCGCGGUAA
RNAcentral lists this ribosomal RNA (495 nucleotides) under uncultured bacterium. RNAcentral's name for it is "bacterial SSU rRNA". It matches the Rfam family "Bacterial small subunit ribosomal RNA", at positions 29 to 523 of the family's 1533-position model. The record is from RNAcentral.